This 469-nucleotide long non-coding RNA is filed under the name Prunus persica (peach). RNAcentral's name for it is "long non-coding RNA (PPER_LNC002055)". The record is from RNAcentral. Lineage: Eukaryota; Viridiplantae; Streptophyta; Magnoliopsida; Rosales; Rosaceae.
CUGAGAGUGGGACUAGUGAUUUUUGUUCAAACCAGUGAAAGAUUUCAUCCUUUUCAAACAUGAUUCUUGUUUUGAACCUCAGUGGGACUCGUUGUUUAAAAAAAAAACUUCAAAUGAUAUUGAAAAAAAGAAAAAGAGAGUGAGAGAAUACCUUUGGCUUGCAAAGAAAGUUUUCUUCGGAAGUAAACUUUGGAGUUUUGGAGACGAAGACGAGGAAGAUAUGAGAAUUAGACACGUAGCUUUUGGGAAAUGAAAGGGAAACUAAGAGGAAAUUGAAAAUUUUUAUCGGUUAGAGAGAACGUAAAAGUUUAUGUCAAGUGACGAAAAAGUUUUUAUAUUGUCCAAAAGAUCAAUACGACAAAGGUUCUGACGAAAACCUCCUGAGUAUGUUCUUACCCCGACGUUAUAUUAGUAGAAAUCGACGUUGUUGGUAAUAAGGCCUGUUGACUUUUGGUAUUCCGAAAACCAC